RNAcentral lists this non-coding RNA (22 nucleotides) under Arabidopsis thaliana (thale cress). The record is from RNAcentral. Lineage: Eukaryota; Viridiplantae; Streptophyta; Magnoliopsida; Brassicales; Brassicaceae.
UAUCCUCUAGGUUCCAAGCCUA